Molecule: unclassified non-coding RNA, 242 nt
Filed under: Pleosporales sp.
Lineage: Eukaryota; Fungi; Ascomycota; Dothideomycetes; Pleosporales
Description: partial contains 5.8S ribosomal RNA, internal transcribed spacer 2, and large subunit ribosomal RNA
Source: RNAcentral
CGCACAUUGCGCCCCUUGGUAUUCCUUGGGGCAUGCCUGUUCGAGCGUCAUUUACACCCUCAAGCUCAGCUUGGUGAUGGGCGACCGUCCCCCGCGGACCCGCCCCAAAUGCAUUUGGCGGCUGGACCGGUGGCUUUAUCUGCAGCGCAAUUGCAGCUCGAGGCCGCCGGCUCCGGCGAACCAUCAAGCCCCCCCAUCCACGUUUUGACCUCGGAUCAGGUAGGGAUACCCGCUGAACUUAA